GAUAUCAACUGAAAAAGUCAUCAACAACAAAGUUGAAUAACUCAUCAAGAUCUAAAACUUUUAUUUUGGUCAUUUCUUCAUACGACAAAGUGAUAGUAACAUUGUUCACAAAAUUGACAUAUCUCUUAUCUGGUUUUAUAAACUAUAACACAUAUAUGUAAAAUUUAUGAAUAAUAUUACUAACAUUUCGUCGGAUGAAGAAAUAACAAAAAUAAAAGUUUUAGAUCUUGAUGAGUUAUUCAACUUUGUUGUUGAUGACUUUUUCAAUUGAAAUC
Molecule: microRNA precursor, 275 nt
Filed under: Oryza sativa Japonica Group (Japanese rice)
Lineage: Eukaryota; Viridiplantae; Streptophyta; Magnoliopsida; Poales; Poaceae
Description: MIR821 microRNA precursor family
Rfam family: MIR821 microRNA precursor family
Source: Rfam by way of RNAcentral